This 193-nucleotide small RNA is filed under the name Kocuria sp. RNAcentral describes it as "c-di-AMP sequence". It matches the Rfam family "c-di-AMP riboswitch aptamer (ydaO/yuaA leader)". From Rfam's summary of the family: This family represents a conserved RNA structure found upstream of the ydaO and yuaA genes in Bacillus subtilis and related genes in other bacteria. The record is from RNAcentral. Lineage: Bacteria; Bacillati; Actinomycetota; Actinomycetes; Micrococcales; Micrococcaceae.
CGUGGCACAUCGCCGAGUUCUGCCGGUGCCCGGGGUUCCUGAAGAGAAAUCGCUUGGCAGAAGCGGGGAAACCAUUUCCGGUCCCGGUGUGCCGGGGCCUUGGGGUUAAGUCGUUCAGAGCGCGUGCGUCCUGAACGGCCGGGUGUCUCCCACCCGAACCCGACAGCUCACCUCGUAGGCAAAGGGAGGAACC